UGGGGAAUUUUGGACAAUGGGGGAAACCCUGAUCCAGCCAUCCCGCGUGUGCGAUGAAGGCCUUCGGGCUGUAAAGCACUUUUGGCAGGAAAGAAACGUCGCGGGUUAAUACCCCGCGAAACUGACGGUACCUGCAGAAUAAGCACCGGCUAACUACGUGCCAGCAGCCGCGGUAAUACGUAGGGUGCAAGCGUUAAUCGGAAUUACUGGGCGUAAAGCGUGCGCAGGCGGUUCGGAAAGAAAGAUGUGAAAUCCCAGAGCUUAACUUUGGAACUGCAUUUUUAACUACCGGGCUAGAGUGUGUCAGAGGGAGGUGGAAUUCCGCGUGUAGCAGUGAAAUGCGUAGAUAUGCGGAGGAACACCGAUGGCGAAGGCAGCCUCCUGGGAUAACACUGACGCUCAUGCACGAAAGCGUGGGGAGCAAACAGGAUUAGAUACCCUGGUAGUCCACGCCCUAAACGAUGUCAACUAGCUGUUGGGGCCUUCGGGCCUUGGUAGCGCAGCUAACGCGUGAAGUUGACCGCCUGGGGAGUACGGUCGCAAGAUUAAAACUCAAAUGAAUUGAC
This 566-nucleotide ribosomal RNA is filed under the name uncultured bacterium. RNAcentral describes it as "partial 16S ribosomal RNA". It matches the Rfam family "Bacterial small subunit ribosomal RNA", at positions 355 to 914 of the family's 1533-position model. The record is from RNAcentral.